RNAcentral lists this long non-coding RNA (428 nucleotides) under Gallus gallus (chicken). Lineage: Eukaryota; Metazoa; Chordata; Aves; Galliformes; Phasianidae. The record is from RNAcentral.
AUUAAAGUUUCGGAGGUAGAAUAUGCGACUCUGGCUGCGUUUUUCCAACCCAACUUCUUGAAGCUCAUUAUAAUGUGCAGCUACAGCUUGCCCAUGGCCUGCCUCACUCGGAACUUUCUUAGGAGGUUCAUCUUCAACAUCUGCUAUAUUCCUUUUCAGGCCACUGCCCUGAUCACCACUAGCAAGCUUUUUCUCAUUUUCAGUGGAGUGCGCUGUACCUGAAGUUGAGCUAUUGCCUUCCAAAUUGACACCUGAAUCUGUCUCUGAAGCAUGAGACGUUCUCUCCACUUCUUCAUCCAAACUCUUCUCUACUUCCUUUUCUUCAGUCUUGGUUAAGUCAGCCAUUUUUGACAGGUUAAACUCCCUACCUGUUGAUCAAAAUAAAAAACUACAGAGAAAAAAGAUCUACUGUUAGCACUGAAUUUAAC